Molecule: long non-coding RNA, 908 nt
Filed under: Helianthus annuus (common sunflower)
Lineage: Eukaryota; Viridiplantae; Streptophyta; Magnoliopsida; Asterales; Asteraceae
Description: hypothetical non coding rna
Source: RNAcentral
ACACCCCAAAAGUGGUAAAAGUAAAAAGGGGGAAAUACGAGUAUACUCACGGUUUACAAGUGGUGACUUGAAAUUCCGAGAGCAAGUUUGUAGAUGAAUUAGUUCGGAGCACCUUGUCCUUCUACACAAGGAAACGUAGGUGUGUGAGUUUGGCGUAUAACGGAAGAUUAUAGAUUCGGAGUUUUUAAUAUAUAGAAAGUAACAUAGGUGAAAAUAAUCAUCUUGUACGCAUAACUCUUGUUCUUGACACUAUUGAAACUCAAAAGAGUUGGUAUGAUUUCAUGGAUUCUAAGAUCCAUUAGAGUCGUAACAAGGGCAUGGUCAUAGAUGAUGUAACGUCCACUUAACAAAUAACUAUUAAGUCAUCAUCAAGUCUUAGUUACUUAGAUGUAUACAUAUAGAAUAACUUAGAUAUUAUAUAGUUUACAAGUCUUAUGAUUCAAGCAUGAGGUAGGAGAUUAAUGUCUCCAUUUAGGUACCUCUUUGUGUCAUAGAAUACAUACAUGAGGUAGGAAGAACAAGCUUCCAUUUAGGCACCUCUAUUGUUCACCACUACACUUGUUGUUAUAAACAACAAGGAGGGUCAUGAACAUACAAGUAUCAAGGUAUUAACAACAACUAAUCUAUAGCAAAACAUCAAGUAAUGAGUGGAUUCUUAUGAAGGAUAGCCCAAGCUAAUCCAACCAUCACACAUUCAACAAGUUUCACACUUGAACAUUACUUGUGGGGAGGCUGGUUAUAUGUGCAAGUUUGUAGAUGAAUUAGUUCGGAGCACCUUGUCCUUCUACACAAGGAAACGUAGGUGUGUGAGUUUGGCGUAUAACGGAAGAUUAUAGAUUCGGAGUUUUUAAUAUAUAGAAAGUAACAUAGGUGAAAAUAAUCAUCUUGUACGCAUAACUCUUGUUCUU